CCCUACGGGAGGCAGCAGUGAAGAAUAUUGGUCAAUGGGCGCGAGCCUGAACCAGCCAAGUCGCGUGAGGGAAGACGGUCCUAUGGAUUGUAAACCUCUUUUGUCGGGGAGCAAAAGACGCCACGUGUGGCGUUCCGAGAGUACCCGAAGAAAAAGCAUCGGCUAACUCCGUGCCAGCAGCCGCGGUAAUACGGAGGAUGCGAGCGUUAUCCGGAUUUAUUGGGUCUAAAGGGUGCGCAGGCGGAAGAUCAAGUCAGCGGUAAAAUUGAGAGGCUCAACCUCUUCGAGCCGUUGAAACUGGUUUU
RNAcentral lists this ribosomal RNA (305 nucleotides) under uncultured bacterium. RNAcentral's name for it is "bacterial SSU rRNA". It matches the Rfam family "Bacterial small subunit ribosomal RNA", at positions 337 to 640 of the family's 1533-position model. The record is from RNAcentral.